This 70-nucleotide transfer RNA is filed under the name Podarcis lilfordi (Lilford's wall lizard). Its description in RNAcentral is "tRNA.Lys". The stretch from base 3 to 63 matches the Rfam family "tRNA", at positions 7 to 64 of the family's 71-position model. From Rfam's summary of the family: Transfer RNA (tRNA) molecules are approximately 80 nucleotides in length. Their secondary structure includes four short double-helical elements and three loops (D, anti-codon, and T loops). Further hydrogen bonds mediate the characteristic L-shaped molecular structure. tRNAs have two regions of fundamental functional importance: the anti-codon, which is responsible for specific mRNA codon recognition, and the 3' end, to which the tRNAs corresponding amino acid is attached (by aminoacyl-tRNA synthetases). tRNAs cope with the degeneracy of the genetic code in two manners: having more than one tRNA (with a specific anti-codon) for a particular amino acid; and 'wobble' base-pairing, i.e. permitting non-standard base-pairing at the 3rd anti-codon position. Lineage: Eukaryota; Metazoa; Chordata; Lepidosauria; Squamata; Lacertidae. The record is from RNAcentral.
GAGUGGUGCAAUGGGUCAGUGUGUUUGGCUUUUAACCAGAAGGUUGGUGGUUUGAACCCACCCAGGGAUG